UACGGAGGGUGCAAGCGUUAUCCGGAUUCACUGGGUUUAAAGGGUGCGUAGGUGGAGUGGUAAGUCAGUGGUGAAAUCUCCAAGCUUAACUUGGAAACUGCCGUUGAUACUAUCAUUCUUGAAUAUCGUGGAGGUAAGCGGAAUAUGUCAUGUAGCGGUGAAAUGCUUAGAUAUGACAUAGAACACCGAUUGCGAAGGCAGCUUGCUACACGAUCAUUGACACUGAGGCACGAAAGCGUGGGGAGCGAACAGG
This 253-nucleotide ribosomal RNA is filed under the name uncultured bacterium. RNAcentral's name for it is "partial 16S ribosomal RNA". It matches the Rfam family "Bacterial small subunit ribosomal RNA", at positions 524 to 776 of the family's 1533-position model. The record is from RNAcentral.